RNAcentral lists this transfer RNA (61 nucleotides) under Marmota marmota marmota (Alpine marmot). It matches the Rfam family "tRNA", at positions 6 to 65 of the family's 71-position model. From Rfam's summary of the family: Transfer RNA (tRNA) molecules are approximately 80 nucleotides in length. Their secondary structure includes four short double-helical elements and three loops (D, anti-codon, and T loops). RNAcentral also lists the same sequence under 4 other names. Lineage: Eukaryota; Metazoa; Chordata; Mammalia; Rodentia; Sciuridae. The record is from Rfam by way of RNAcentral.
UGUUGCUCAGUGAUAGAGCACUUGUCUAACAUGCAGGAGGCCCUGGGUUUGAUUCACAGCA